UACGUAGGGACCAAGCGUUGUUCGGAUUUACUGGGCGUAAAGCGUGCGCAGGCGGCUUUGCAAGACAGAUGUGAAAUCCCCGGGCUUAACCUGGGAACUGCAUUUGUGACUGCAUGGCUGGAGUGCGGCAGAGGGGGAUGGAAUUCCGCGUGUAGCAGUGAAAUGCGUAGAUAUGCGGAGGAACACCGAUGGCGAAGGCAAUCCCCUGGGCCUGCACUGACGCUCAUGCACGAAAGCGUGGGGAGCAAACAGG
Molecule: ribosomal RNA, 253 nt
Filed under: uncultured bacterium
Lineage: Bacteria
Description: partial 16S ribosomal RNA
Rfam family: Bacterial small subunit ribosomal RNA
Source: RNAcentral